This 317-nucleotide ribosomal RNA is filed under the name Thermosyntropha lipolytica DSM 11003. RNAcentral describes it as "bacterial SSU rRNA". It matches the Rfam family "Bacterial small subunit ribosomal RNA", at positions 19 to 307 of the family's 1533-position model. The record is from RNAcentral. Lineage: Bacteria; Bacillati; Bacillota; Clostridia; Eubacteriales; Syntrophomonadaceae.
CUGGCUCAGGACGAACGCUGGCGGCGUGCCUAACACAUGCAAGUCGGACGGGGUAUUUAAGAGGAAUCUUUCGGGAGGAAUCUUAAAUACCUAGUGGCGGACGGGUGAGUAACGCGUGAGCAACCUACCCAUAAGUGGGGGAUAACACUGGGAAACUGGUGCUAAUACCGCAUAAGCUGUGUUCACCGCAUGGGGGACACAGUAAAGAUGGCCUAUAGGGGCUAUCGCUUAUGGAUGGGCUCGCGUCUGAUUAGCUAGUUGGUGGGGUAACGGCCUACCAAGGCGACGAUCAGUAGCCGGCCUGAGAGGGUGGACGG